This 451-nucleotide ribosomal RNA is filed under the name uncultured bacterium. Its description in RNAcentral is "partial 16S ribosomal RNA". It matches the Rfam family "Bacterial small subunit ribosomal RNA", at positions 29 to 523 of the family's 1533-position model. The record is from RNAcentral.
AACGAACGCUGGCGGCAGGCUUAACACAUGCAAGUCGAACGGUUGUAACAAUACAGCAGUGGCAGACGGGUGAGUAACACGUGGGAACCUUCCUAGGGGUACGGAACAACUCAGGGAAACUUGAGCUAAUACCGUAUACGUCCGUGAGGAGAAAGAUUUAUCGCCCUUAGACGGGCCCGCGUCGGAUUAGGUAGUUGGUGGGGUAACGGCCUACCAAGCCUACGAUCCGUAGCUGAUCUGAGAGGAUGAUCAGCCACACUGGGACUGAGACACGGCCCAGACUCCUACGGGAGGCAGCAGUGGGGAAUCUUGGACAAUGGGCGCAAGCCUGAUCCAGCCAUGCCGCGUGAGUGAAGAAGGCCUUAGGGUUGUAAAGCUCUUUUGCCAGGGACGAUAAUGACGGUACCUGGAGAAUAAGCCCCGGCAAACUUCGUGCCAGCCGCCGCAGUAA